GUUUCAGCAGCCGCGGUAAUACGUAGGGUCCGAGCGUUGUCCGGAUUUAUUGGGCGUAAAGAGCUCGUAGGCGGUUCCGUAAGUCGGAUGUGAAAACUCGGGGCUCAACCCCGAGACGCCAUCCGAUACUGCGGUGACUUGAGUCUGGUAGGGGAACACGGAAUUCCUGGUGUAGCGGUGAAAUGCGCAGAUAUCAGGAGGAACACCGAUGGCGAAGGCAGUGUUCUGGGCCAGUACUGACGCUGAGGAGCGAAAGCGUGGGGAGCAAACAGGAUUAGAAACCCUGGUAGUCC
This 293-nucleotide ribosomal RNA is filed under the name uncultured bacterium. RNAcentral's name for it is "partial 16S ribosomal RNA". It matches the Rfam family "Bacterial small subunit ribosomal RNA", at positions 505 to 796 of the family's 1533-position model. The record is from RNAcentral.